GGGUUGUGAGGUUAAGCGACUAAGCGUACACGGUGGAUGCCCUGGCAGUCAGAGGCGAUGAAGGGCGUGCUAAUCUGCGAUAAGCGCCGGUAAGGUGAUAUGAACCGUUAUAACCGGCGAUACCCGAAUGGGGAAACCCAGUGUGAUUCGUCACACUAUCAUUAACUGAAUCCAUAGGUUAAUGAGGCGAACCGGGGGAACUGAAACAUCUAAGUACCCCGAGGAAAAGAAAUCAACCGAGAUUCCCCCAGUAGCGGCGAGCGAACGGGGAGGAGCCCAGAGCCUGAAUCAGCAUGUGUGUUAGUGGAAGCGUCUGGAAAGGCGCGCGAUACAGGGUGACAGCCCCGUACACAAAAGCGUAUGUGCUGUGAGCUCGAUGAGUAGGGCGGGACACGUGGUAUCCUGUCUGAAUAUGGGGGGACCAUCCUCCAAGGCUAAAUACUCCUGACUGACCGAUAGUGAACCAGUACCGUGAGGGAAAGGCGAAAAGAACCCCGGCGAGGGGAGUGAAAAAGAACCUGAAACCGUGUACGUACAAGCAGUGGGAGCACCCUUUGGGGUGUGACUGCGUACCUUUUGUAUAAUGGGUCAGCGACUUAUAUUCUGUAGCAAGGUUAACCGAAUAGGGGAGCCGGAGGGAAACCGAGUCUUAAUUGGGCGUUAAGUUGCAGGGUAUAGACCCGAAACCCGGUGAUCUAGCCAUGGGCAGGUUGAAGGUUGGGUAACACUAACUGGAGGACCGAACCGACUAAUGUUGAAAAAUUAGCGGAUGACCUGUGGCUGGGGGUGAAAGGCCAAUCAAACCGGGAGAUAGCUGGUUCUCCCCGAAAGCUAUUUAGGUAGCGCCUCGUGAAUUCAUCUCCGGGGGUAGAGCACUGUUUCGGCUAGGGGGUCAUCCCGACUUACCAACCCGAUGCAAACUGCGAAUACCGGAGAAUGUUAUCACGGGAGACACACGGCGGGUGCUAACGUCCGUCGUGAAGAGGGAAACAACCCAGACCGCCAGCUAAGGUCCCAAAGUCAUGGUUAAGUGGGAAACGAUGUGGGAAGGCCCAGACAGCCAGGAUGUUGGCUUAGAAGCAGCCAUCAUUUAAAGAAAGCGUAAUAGCUCACUGGUCGAGUCGGCCUGCGCGGAAGAUGUAACGGGGCUAAACCAUGCACCGAAGCUGCGGCAGCGACACUCA
RNAcentral lists this ribosomal RNA (1184 nucleotides) under Salmonella enterica. RNAcentral's name for it is "partial 23S ribosomal RNA". It matches the Rfam family "Bacterial large subunit ribosomal RNA", at positions 1 to 1217 of the family's 2925-position model. The record is from RNAcentral. Lineage: Bacteria; Pseudomonadati; Pseudomonadota; Gammaproteobacteria; Enterobacterales; Enterobacteriaceae.